AAAGGCUGGUGGGAGGCCCAGCCGUGGCCGCACACCUGGCGGGUGCGGCCCAUCUAACCCGUUACUGGGAGGGCCGGCAGGUCGGGCUGCUGUUGCAGUCCGACUACCGGGACGCCGUGGAGCGUAUUAGGACCCUAUGAUGAUGAUGUAUGAAGGUCUGGACCUGCCGUCUUCGGGAUGUGCCAUUUGUUUCAAAAUUAUUUACUCAUCCAAGUC
Molecule: long non-coding RNA, 216 nt
Organism: Sycon ciliatum
Lineage: Eukaryota; Metazoa; Porifera; Calcarea; Leucosolenida; Sycettidae
Exons: 3
Source: RefSeq, a predicted model, not a curated record